Long non-coding RNA from Pseudopipra pipra, 2281 nucleotides. RefSeq lists it as uncharacterized. The transcript is spliced from 3 exons. The record is from RefSeq and is a predicted model, not a curated record. Lineage: Eukaryota; Metazoa; Chordata; Aves; Passeriformes; Pipridae.
AAUAUUUGGUCUAUCCUCCUAGAAACAUUGGAAGAUAUCCCAGUGGAGGUGAGACACCUUGGAGAAGACAGUGAGGCCAAGAGAUCACAUCAAAAGAUCUGCAAGCAAUCAUCUCUUUCCUAUGCAGAACAAAGACAACAUGCAAGUACUUCCUAAAGUAGACAAGGACAUGGCUGCCUUUUAUAGGUUUGCUGCUAAGAUCCGUUCCGCUGAUAUUUGACCAUAUUACGUUAUUAUUCUUUGCUGAUGCUUAAAGAACAACUUCUCCAGUUGCUCAAGAUGUCCACUCUCAAUCAACAGGACUUCCAAAGUUUUAUUGUAACAAGAGGCUGAAAGUUCAUGUGCCUUUGUUUAUCUAUGAAGAUAACUUGAACUUAUAAUUAUGUCCAGUCAUUCAACAUCAUCUUAAGCUUACAUCUCUUGAAUAAUUCAACAUUUUGGCCAACCCCCUACAUGACUAAACAAUAUGCUCACUGCUCAACUAAAGUGCAAGAAGGCUGCAAAAAAGUCAUAGAAACAAGAAGAGGAAAUGAUGGAGAAGUAUAACGAUACUGUUUAGACACUUGUGACUGAUAUCAGGAAGGCCAAAGCCUUGUAGCAGAAGAAGUAACUUGUGAGUGACAUAAAGAGUAACAGAAAGUAAUACUACAGUCAUUCCAGAUACAGCUUAAUUACUGGACAACUUGGCCAGCAUAAGUCACAUUAAGUUCAAGAACUGCAAAUCUCUGCACUUGGGAACAGAGUGACCCCACACAUCAGUGCAGGUUAUGAGGUUGCAAAAGGACCUGGUGUUUACAGUGGGUACUAAUGAUCCAACACUGAGCUUUCAUCAUGAAAAAAACAAACUGCACAUUGGACUACAAUAGGAGAUGUAUGGCCAACAGAUUGAGGGAAGCUAUUAUUUCACUCUGUUCUGUGUUGGAGAGGCCAUAUCUGGAUCCUGGUACAGUUAUAGGCUCUACAGUUCAAGAAAGGUAUUGAGGAAUUGAAGAAGGUUCUGCAUAUGGUCAGGUAUGAAUUUCUGAGGAGUACAUAAGGGUGGAGACCUAUUUGUUCCUCCAGAGAAGGGGCUAAGAGAUCACAGAAUCAUAGAGAGUAACUCAAGUUGGAACCUAUCUGGAUCAAGUCCAAUGCCCUAUUCCUUGCAGGAGUACCUAAAACUAAGCCAUAUGACUAAAAGUGUUGUCCAAAUGCCCCUUAAAAUCUGAGAGACUUAAUCACAGAAUCACAGAAUAUACCAAAUUGGAAGGAACCCACAAGGAUCAUUGAGUCCAACACCUGGCCCUGCACAGACCAUCCCCAAGAAUCACACCAUGUGCCUGAGAGUAUUGUCCAAAUGCUUCUUGAACUCUGGCAGGCUGUGACCACUUCCCUGGGGAGCCGAUUCCAGUACCCAGCCACCCUCUUGGUGAAGAACCUUUUUCUAAUAUCCAACCUAAACCUCCCCUGACACAACUUCAGGCCAUUCCCUCGAGUCCUGUCACUGGUCACCACAGAGAAGAGAUCAGUGUCAGCCUCUCCUCACAAGGAAGUUGUAGACUGCAAUAAGGUCUCCCCUCAGUCUCCUCCAGGCUGAACAGACCAAGUGACCUCAGCUGCUCCUCAUAUGGCUUCCCCCCAAGGCCCUUCACCAUCUUCAUUGUCCUCCUUAUUACUAUGACCACUUCCCUGGGGAGCCUGUUACAAUGCCCAACCACUCUCUCAGUGAAGAACCUUUUACAAAUGUCCAAUUUGAACUUCCUCUCAUGCAGGGGAGGGAGAUCUAAUAACCUACGACUACUAGAUUACAAAGAUGAUGGAUCCAAAUUCAUCCUAAUGGAUGGCUCAUUGUGCCAAAUGAUGUAACAAGGAACAUGGGCCAUAAAUUGCAGCUUGCGAAGUUGUGUAUCCUCCAUCCUUUAAAAAUUUUGAGAUUUGUCUAAACAAAACCUAGGCUGACUUGACCUUCAUCAUUCCCUUUCAGCCAGCAUUACCACAUGCUCUAUUGCUGUAUAUUGUUUUUCUCUCUGGAAUGCUGAACCAAUGUAAUGAAUUUUGAUGUGUUUUAUCCUGACUGUUGCGGGGGGUUUUGGUUUGGGGAUUUUUGUUUGUUUGUUUGUUUGUUUAUUUGUUUCUGUUGCGGGUUUUUUCCUGUUUUGUUGGUUGAGUUUGGGUUUUUUAGGGGGGUUAGGGAGUUUUUGUUUGUGUUUUUUUGUCUGUCAGGUUUUGUUUGUUUGGUUGGCUUUUUUAAUAACAUAACAAAGCAAGUGCAAUAAAGCUGCAUAUUCUUUUCAAAACCUGA